CCUAUGGGCACAAAAAGCAGGAACGAGUAGCGGUGGCUGAAGAACGAGCAGGAGCUUGAAUUUCAGUUUUCUUAUGAGGAAUUUUCCAGAAAAGAUAUCUUCACUGUGAAAUAACUAAAUAAAUGCCCACUCAGUACAGUCACUGUCUCCCUUUUGGAACUUGAUGGCACCUUAAGCCCAGGUUUGCCUCCACUCUAGAAACUCAUCAGAGUGAUGCCCUUCUCAAAUGGGGGAGGUCCCAAAGCGGAUAUCCUGGCAGUGUGAAAGGCCGGCUAAAGGUUUGUGCCAAGAGGAUCUGUGGAAUGCAUCUCCUACAGCUGGUGCUGCUGAGUAACCACUCUGAUCUGGCAUCUUCUUUGAUCAAGUUACAGAGCAGAGUUUCCAGGGCUGGGGAUUGAAGUCCUGCCUCCUCCCUUUGUCUCUGGUUGUCCUCGACAAAAAUACCUGCUACAUGCUUCCUUCUGUAUGAAUACAUGAGACCUACCUUCAUUCAUGUUUCCUCUAUGAAGCUUUCCCUGCACUCCAAACACAGAGCUGAGACUUCCACCUAAUGUAGAAAGCUAGCACGAGCCGGCGCUGACAGAUGGAAGACUUGAGAUGUUACAAGAUUAUAUAUGGAAACACAAAAGGAGUGGAGUUGCUGGGUCAUAUGGCAAUUCAUUUGAGGAACUGAGAAGCUUAUUCCAUGGAGGCUGAACUGUUUUAUAUUCCCACCAGCAACGUGUAAGGUUCCAGUUUAUCUACAUCAUCACCAACACUUGCUAUUUUCCAUUUCAUUAAUGAUAGCCAUCCUAGUGGAUUUGAAGUGGUACCUUAUUAUCGUGGUUUUGAUUGCAUUCUCUAUUGACUAAUGAUAUCGAGCAUCUUUUCAUGUAUUUUUUGGUCAUUUGGUCAUUUUUCUUUUUUAAUUUUAAAAUUUUGAGACAGGCUCUCACUAUGUUGCCCAGGUGGUCUCAAACUCCUGGGUUCCAGCGAUGCUCAUGCCUCAGUCUCCCAAAGGGGUGGGAUUACAGGUGUGAGCCACUUUGCCCAGCCCAUUUGUAUAUCUCCUUUGGAGAAUAUCUAGGUUCUUUUGAAGGUAGCUGCAUAUAAACUAGCCAAAUUAACAGACUGUGGUUUUUAGAUGGCUUUCCAUAUCUACAAGAACUAUUUAGUUCUCAAAACUGGGAAGAAAUGUUUCAGAGGCAUCAUUAAUUCAUAAUCUAAAAAUUUAUCUUGGGUUUCCUUUUUUCCCCCAGAUUCUGUAUCCUCCAUAGUCCUAUUCAUGACAUGGGUCGUUCAUCUCUGUAUUCUAAACCCUCAAUGAACUGUAGACAGUAAUAAAUAUUUAUUGGAUGAAUGGUCUCUCAUCAGCCACCUUUUCUUUUUUUUUUUUUGAGACAGAGUCUCACUCUGUCACUCAGGCUGGAGUGCAGUGGCGCGAUCUCGGUUCACUGCAACCUCUGCCUCCCGGGUUCAAGUGAUUCUCCCACCUGAGCCUCCCGAGUAGCUGGGAUUACAGGUGCACGCCACCUUGUCUGGCUAAUUUUUGUAUUUUUAGUAGAGACAGGGUUUCACCGUGUUGGUCAGGCUGGUCUCAAACGCCUGACCUCAGGUGAUCUGCCCGACUUGGCCUCCCAAAGUGCUGGGAUUACAGGUGUGAGCCACCGCACCUGGCCUCCAGCCUCUUUUCUUUUUUUUUUUUGAGACAAGUCUAACUCUGUCACCCAGGCUGGAGAGCAGCGGCAUGAUCAUGGCUCACUGCUGCCUCAACCUCAGAGGCUCAAGUCAUUGUCCCCACCUCAGCCUCCCUAGUAGACUGGACUACAGGCAUGUGCCACCACACCCAGCUAAUUUUUCAUCAGCCACCUUUUCUAACCAUCUGUCUGCACUGACUUCCCAGGUUCUGCAUCAUUAUUGGUUUACUGAGACAAUGCACUUCACCCGUCCUUCAAUCCCAAAGUAGCACAGAAUAUCAGGAGUUCUUUGAGCCCCUAAGUGCCCUACUUUCCCAGGGUCAGGGGACCCUGACAAGCAAGGUCCCCACAUCUUUCUGUGGUUGGAUAGGGAUAUAAAAUUUCUCACACAUGUUAAAUCAAGAUACUUUGGCCAGGCACGGUGGCUCACACCUGUAAUCCCAGCACUUUGGGAGGCUGAGGUGUACAGAUCACUUGAGGUCAGGAGUUUGAGACAAGCCUGGUCAACAUGGUGAAACUCCCAUCUCUACUAAAAAAAAAAAAACUUUGGGAGGCCGAGGUGGGUGGAUCAUGAGGUCAGGAGUUUGAGACCAGCCUGGCCAACAUGGUGAAACCCCGUCUCUACUAAAAAUGCAAAAAUUAGGUGGGUGUGGUGGCACACAGCAGUAGUCCCAGCUACUCAGGAGGCUGAGGCAGGAGAAUUGCUUGAACCUGGGAGGCAGAGGUUACAGUGAGCUGAGAUCAUGCCACCGCACUCCAACCAGGGCAACAGAUCAAGACUCCAUCUUGGGGAAAAAAAAAAAAAUUAGCCAGGCUUGGUGGUGGAUGCCUGUAUUCCCAGCUUCUUGGGAGACUGAAGCAGGAGGAUCGCUUGAACCCAGGAGGCAGAGGUUGCAGUGAGUUGAGAUUGUGCCACUGUACUCCAGCCUGGGCAACAGAAACAAUACUCCGUCUCAAAAAAAAAAAAAAAAAAAAAAAAUCAAGACACCAAACACACACAACUAAUUAGCUCUAUAAAUUGAAUUAAAAGAAAAUCCAUACUGACUUGCUUUCCCAUCUGUCCAUAUUUGUCUAUCCAAAUGAUUAAGGGCUAGAGAAAAUACAGAUGAUGAUGGCUGAGAUGGGAUAAAACUAUAAAUUGACUUGGUUCCAUUUACCUCCCAGAAUCAGCAUACAGUGACAAAGUAGAGAGAAAAGGUCUGGGCACCACAAACUUGUACUUGUGCUAGAAAUGUAGGUGCCUUUUCAUUUGCCCAGCAGGGCUAGUUUAACAGCCAGGGUAUCUUCUGGGACUCUUCCCCAAAUCUUGCUCUACCGCUGACUAGCUAUGUGAUCUUGGGCAAGUUUCUCAACCUUUCUGUGCCUUUCUUCCUUUACUUAUAAAUAAGGAUAACAGAAUUUGCUUCAUAGAGUUAGUCUGAGGAUUCAGUAAGUAGAUACGUGUAAUCUUAGAACAGUGUCUGGCACACAGUAAAACUCUAUCUUUGCUAUUGUUGUUUUUGUUAUAACUGUAUAGAUGUUAGCUAUUAUUACUAUCCACAAGAAUGGGACAUAUCAAUUAUAUAUAUUACUGGCCUAGUAAUUAUAUAUACUUAGAAUCCCUGAUCAAUAAAAUAAAUUGUAAUAGAAAUUUUUAUUCCUCAAACACAUUUUUGUUCCUCAAACACAUUUUUAAAUAAACAUGUCUUGGGAAAGCCAAAGAAAAAAAAAUCAUACCUAUAUCCAAAUAUGUUAUAUUAAAACCUUGUUCCUUGGCAAUUUCACUAAGCAGCUGGAUGUAAUCUGUAUUUGGAAUACUAAGGAGGCUUCUUUUCAGUAAGUUGAUCUUUUCACCAGGAGAAUUCCUCAAGGAAUGCCAAGUACAUCCUAAAGAAUGUCCUACUACAUUUGUCUGAAAAACAGAGAUGAAGAUUUAGACUCUUGACUAGGACUGGGUUCCAACACCCGUACCAGUAUCAUUAAAAGUACUUAUUAAGCACUCACAUUUAAUAUGUUAUAAAGCAUGUUUAAAUGGAUAACAUUUGGUUAAUUUUCCAAUUUAAACAAGACAACAUUAAAAAGUACACAUUUAACAAUACUAUAUGUUUUUAAGAAGCACUUGCAAUAAUAUACUGAAAGCAUUUUGUAUUUUGUAUAGUACAAAUGUUUCUCAGUCAAGUUUUCUGAUGGUCACAUUAAGAGGUACAAGAUAUCUGGAAGCACCAUAAGUAAAUCCACAAAUAAUUAAAUCUGCCUAAUGGAGCAAUUUGCAGAUUAAAAUAUAGAACAAUUUUCAUAUCUUUGGUUUUUUUUGUAUUAAAUACCAAUCACUAUAACUGACAGCUAUCAAACAGGAAAAAAAACAGAAAAAAAAACUAAAAAAAACAUGAAAUGUGCGCGUUGGGUUUGAGGAACAAGUCAUUCAAAUAAAUGACAGGAUGUCAAAAAGUUCUUAUCAGACUUCUAUCCCAGAACCCAACUGAGUAUUUUUUUCCUUUUUCUUUCUGCUUUUCCUCUUUCCUUUAUCCUCCCCUAUAUCCUUCCCUUUUCAUCUCUGUCCUUAGAAUGCCUUAUAUUUCCAUAUUAGUUUAUGGUUCUCAAAUUGCUUUCAUAUGCCAUUAAUAAAAACAACUACUUUCUGAAGUAAGUAGGGUUACUACUCUUAAUAUUGUUUUAUUAAUGAGCACGACAGAGGGGAGGCAAUUUCCAAAAGAUUUUAGAGAUGGCAUGAUAUGGAAUUAAGUAAUUUAUUAGAUUUACCAAAUAAAAAUUUACAUUAUAGAAACUUUAAAAUACUGUUUUUAAAUAAAGAACACUAUUUACAUGGUUAAAAAUAUACAUGCACUAAGAACAAAUAUAUAAUGAAGAGUACAGUCUCUUUUCCUUACCACCCAUUCCCUGAAGACCUCUGUUCUAUUUCUUAGACAUACUGUUAAACAUUUUUCAGUAUCUUCCCAUAAAUGUUCUAUGCAUAUGCAAGCACACACAAUCUUUUAAAGCAAAUGAUAACUUACUCCUCUACAUCUUGUUCAUUUUUCUUUUAUCAGUGCACAUAUAUGCACUGUAUUUACCUUACGGAUCUCCAACUGUGAGCUUUAGGUUGUUUCUAGUUUCUUGCUUUUACUAGCAAUAAACACUCUUUUGCACUUGAAUGAGUUUCUCUGUAGAAUUAUUUCUAGAAGUGGAACUGCUAAGUCAAAGAACAUGUACACUUUUAAUUUUGAUAAAUACUUCCAAACUGAUUUCUGAACCAAUUUAUACUCCUACCAACUGUCUUGGAGGGGGCUUGUUUUCUCAUACCCUCACUAAUACCAGCUAUUAUCAAAUUUUGUAGUUUUUGCCAAUCUAAAAGGUGAAAAUAUUUUAUCUUGCAUGAAUAAAGUUGAAUAUUUUUUCUUUUUUUCCCUUAAUCGUUUGCAUUUCUUCUACUGGGUUGUCUUUUUAACUGAUGCAUAAGAGCUUUUUAAAUUUUCUCUUUUUUAAGAGUUAGGAUCUUGCUGUGUGGCUUAACUCUCAAACUCUUGGGCUCUAGCAGUCCUCCCACCUUAGCCUCCCGAGUAGCUGGGACUACAGGCAUGUGCUGCUGUGUGCAGCAGAUGUGUACAAAAGAGCUUUAAAGGUAGUACUGAAAACAGUUCCUUUAUAGUUCUAUGUUGAAAAUAAUUUCUUCCCACUUUUUUAUUGUCUUAAUUUACAGAUUUUUUGCUGUGCAGUAGGUUUUAUGUUGUCAAAUGUAUUAAUCUUUUAACCUAGGUUUUAAGUUAAAAUGCUUUCCCCAUGCUAAGAUUUUUAAAAAGAAAAACUCUUCCAUGUUUCCUAAUAUUUAUACUGUUUCAAAUUUUUAUGUUCAAAUCUUUGAUCCAUCUGAAAUUCACUUUGGUGUAAGGAAUAAGGAAGCAUUCUAAAUAGAUGUCAUACACAUCAACAAAUAUAUAUAUAUAGCCCCCACCCAAAUGUGGAUGUAAACUGUUUCUACAUCAUUAUUGAAUAAUCCAUCCUCUCACCCACUGAUCUGAAAUCUCACUGUUGCUAUAUACUAUGGUCCUAUGUGGAUUAGCAUCUACGCCUGGAUUCUCUAUUCGCUCCUCUGACUAUUCCUGGCCCAGUAACUUGUCUGACAAGUUCAGUUUUACAGUAUGUUUUGUUCUCUAGUAAAGCAGCACACCCUUGCUCUCCCAACUCUUCCUUUUCAGUUUUCUUGGCUAUUCUUGAGGGUUUUUUUCCAGAUAAACUUCAAUAAACGUGUAUCAAGGUCCAAAAUGAACGCUGGUAGGUUUUUUUUUUUUUCGAGUUGGGGUCUCACUCUGUCGCCUAGGCUGGAGUGCAGUGGCGUGGAUCUCUGCUCACUGCAAGCUCCGCCUCCCGGGUUCAUGCCAUUCUCCUGACUCAGCCUCCGGAGUAGCGGGGACUACAGGCGCACGCCACCAGGCCCGGCUAAUUUUUUUUUUUGUAUUUUUAGUAGAGACGGGGUUUCACCGCGUUAGCCAGAAUGGUUUCUAUCUCCUGACCUCAUGAUCCGCCCACCUCGGCCUCCCAAAGUGCUGGGAUUACAGGCGUGAGCCACUGUGCCUGGCCAAACGCUGGUAGGUUUUGAGUGAGAC
RNAcentral lists this long non-coding RNA (6256 nucleotides) under Homo sapiens (human). RNAcentral's name for it is "HSALNT0307524". The record is from RNAcentral. Lineage: Eukaryota; Metazoa; Chordata; Mammalia; Primates; Hominidae.